RNAcentral lists this ribosomal RNA (1305 nucleotides) under Triticum aestivum (bread wheat). Its description in RNAcentral is "partial small subunit ribosomal RNA". The record is from RNAcentral. Lineage: Eukaryota; Viridiplantae; Streptophyta; Magnoliopsida; Poales; Poaceae.
AUGCGCCAGCUCCACCACGGCUGUCCGGCGUACAGCCCACCCCCGCCCGCUGCUUCACCCUUGCUGCUUCCUUCCCGCGGCCGCGCGCUGCUGCAGCCCCCUGCGCGCUGGGCUGCUGCUCCGUGCUGCUCCAGCUCCGCCGCAUCCCCUCGCGCCCCGGAUCCUUGCCUUGACCCCGAGUGCCCACCUCGCCCUCUCCAUCCUCCGGUGCAAUCCCGCACGCGUGCACCGGACCGGGCUUCCUGUGGCUCUGCUCCAACCCCUCCCGCGGCCUCCUCUCCCGCGUCGCCGCGAAACCCACCCCGGAGCGCCACCGCGUCAUCCCCCCGACUCCGUGCCCGCACCGCCGUGGCCGAGUCCCAUGAGCCGGCGCUGCCGCGCGCCCGCCCGCCGGGUCCGGCUCCGCGCCCCCCUGGUCCGGGUCCUCCCGCGCCGCUGUGCCGUCGGCGCCGAGUCCGGCUCCUCCCGCCUCGCUGCGCCGACUCCGCCGUCGGCGCCGAGUCCGGCACAACCCACGCAGGCUGGUUUCCGCCUGCCUCCCGGCCUCUCGAGAUCCCUGCCGGGUCGCCGCGCCUCCGGCCGCCUUCCCGUGCCGGCCCGCUGGCCUCCCGAGCCCCUGCCAGCUCGCCGCGCCUGCCGGCUUCGCACGUGCCUGGCCGCUGGGUUGCAGCGCCCACGCAUUCCUCCGCCCGGCUUCAGGUUGCGCCCGGCCUCCGUAGUCGCCGCGCCGGCUCCGCCCGCAUCCCGGCCGCCCGCGCGCCGCUGGCCGGCUCGCUGCUCCGCCUCCGGCCUGUGCCAGCCGGCUCCCGCACGCCGGCUCCGUCUCCGGCCUGCGCAGGCCGACUUCGCCUCCGACCCGUCCGCCUGCCAGCUCCCGCCCCGUGUGCCUUGAGGCCGGCUGCGCCCGCGCGUUCUGUCGCUGGCUGGAGAAAAAAGAGAGAAAAAAAAGGGGGGCGGGUGAGAGAAAAGUCAAGGGCCGGCUGCCCAAGCCGGCUGAGAAAGAAGUGGCCGAGUGCCCAGCCGGCUGGUAAAAAGAGAGAGAGAGAAAAGAGAGAGAGAGGGCGGCUGGGAGAAAAAGAAAAAGGGCCGACUGCCCGCUGUGGCCGGCUGCUCGUGCAAAGGAAAAGAGGUCCGACUGACCAAGUCAACAGCUGGCUGACGAGAAAAAAGAAAGAAAAAAAAUGCGUCCGACUCUCAGAUAUGCGUCCGACCGCUGGCUGCCUGGCCGGCUGCAAAGAGCCCGACUGCUAUGUCGGGGUCCGCCCGCCCAGCCGGCUGAGGAAGACAAGGAAAAAAACAAAGUAG